CGUAGGUUAGCUCUGUUGGUUAGAGCGUCGUGUUAAUUACGCGAAUGUUGUGGGUUGGAUCCCCAUAUUAGCCA
This 74-nucleotide transfer RNA is filed under the name Dreissena polymorpha. It matches the Rfam family "tRNA". From Rfam's summary of the family: Transfer RNA (tRNA) molecules are approximately 80 nucleotides in length. Their secondary structure includes four short double-helical elements and three loops (D, anti-codon, and T loops). Further hydrogen bonds mediate the characteristic L-shaped molecular structure. tRNAs have two regions of fundamental functional importance: the anti-codon, which is responsible for specific mRNA codon recognition, and the 3' end, to which the tRNAs corresponding amino acid is attached (by aminoacyl-tRNA synthetases). tRNAs cope with the degeneracy of the genetic code in two manners: having more than one tRNA (with a specific anti-codon) for a particular amino acid; and 'wobble' base-pairing, i.e. permitting non-standard base-pairing at the 3rd anti-codon position. The record is from Rfam by way of RNAcentral. Lineage: Eukaryota; Metazoa; Mollusca; Bivalvia; Myida; Dreissenidae.